Molecule: long non-coding RNA, 5554 nt
Organism: Myiozetetes cayanensis
Lineage: Eukaryota; Metazoa; Chordata; Aves; Passeriformes; Tyrannidae
Exons: 8
Source: RefSeq, a predicted model, not a curated record
CUUGCAUUCCCCAUUUGUGCUCCUGUAGUUUUACCUGCAGUUGCCUCUUCAAGGGUCAUAGUUUGGAUCUGUUUGCCACAUGCUCAGGAUAUUGCCCUAUUUGGGUUUUUUUUUUGUGCAGUUUGCUACCUGUGCAUUAGGACCUAGUUGCAGUGCACAGGGCAUUUCGGUCGGAACAGCUAAUGCAGAGGGUGGUUCUGAACGGGUUUCCUCUUUUGAGGGUCCCUCAUUAGGAAAGAAGCAGACUUCCAUGCCAGGGAAGGAAAAGCUCCUUACUUUCAUCAGAGGACAUGAAAGUUUGAGUUUGCCCAAUGUCUUUAGCAGCACAGGUGAUACCUCUGGCAAAACUUAUGAGAGAAAUGAAGACAGUUGCACUCAAUUAGGGACCACCCGCUCCCAUCCAGCCACAGAGAGGGGUAGUCAUCAUGCCAAACACACUCUUUGGACUAACCUGGGAGGGGAUGGCUGAAUGAAAGAUGAAGAACAGUGUUAUUGAGGGCCUGAGUGAGAGGCCUGUGGGUUGAAGCUCUGUGGCCAAGCCAUAUUUGAACCCUUACAAUUUUUGUCUAGCUCUCUAACUGCCAAUAUGUAAGCUGCUCAAAGGCCGUCUGGUGAUAAAGGCAUCCCUUGGUGUACUAUGUACUUUCUCUGCCUAUUUUCCAUAUUAAUGUAAUAUUUUUCCAUGCCCCAGUCACAUAUCUUUAUUUGACAAACAAAUUACUCUAAUAAAAAGCUGGCAGAGCAGUUCACAGUGAGUUUCCUAAUGACUGUGUGAGUGCGCCAGAGCUGUUGGCAGAUGAGCUGCCAGAAUAACAAGGUCUCCUAACACCCCACAAAACUGCCAAAUGUACCUUGUAAUUAAGCAUCACUCAGUUCUGAGGCAGCCCUCAGUUACUGAGUUCAGCCAACUAUAGUAUCUUUAAAGCAAGAUAGAACCAGUGGCGUUUGAUGGGAGAGUGACUGAAUUGCUCACAGUUUAAUGACACCUCUACCUCCACAAUGAAGGUUCCCGGUUUCUAUGUAAAUUGACAUGAUAGAGUUGUGGAGUUUAAUGUUACUGAGCAGUUUCAGUGUAUUUCAACCCUGUGUAUACUCUUUAAGGCACAAAUGGCUAAAGACUACUAGCAAGAAUCAUGGAUAUUUGAUGUUUGAGAGAGAAGGCUAACCAUUGGGAAAUGGAAACUUUGAAGAGCCCUGUGAAAUCACAAUUUCUACCCUCCAACUGAUCCAGGAAACUGUGACACACUGUGGAGCAGAUUUUUGACAACCUGAGGCAUAGGAUCUGAGGAAAAUAUGCUUUAGGAGUGGACUGUGCAGUGUUUCAAGCGGGAGUGCCUGCGUAGAUACAGUUCAAAGACACUGGUAUGGAACUGGAGCGUAUGCAUGCCACAGUAAUCCUGCUUCAUACAUAGGGGAAUUCUGUCUUGAACCACCCUAACGGGGGAAAAAUCUGCUGAGUCCAUUUCUUCAAGUUUUUUACCUACAGCAGGGGCAGGGGCAAAAGGCAAGUGUGAUGCAGUCUCUCCCUUCUGCUGGGGCACCAGUGGUAUCGGAGCAGUGAUGGUGUCUUCCUGAAAUUCUUGUGUUUGCCACACCCAAAACAGGUAUCAAAACUAUUCAGGAUGAGAGUCUGAAAUGAGAACAUGGGCUGUUGAAAUGCACGGCAAGGAAAAACCCGGGAGACAAACAUGACAGAGGACUUUACCGUCUGAACCUCUUGUACCCGUAGAAGAGUCAUUUCAUGGCGGUGGAGGCUUGUUCCUGAGUCUUGGGGAGAUCCUUAACAGCUGGAUUGCAGGAAAACAGUUAAAUGGCAAAACUUAUGUACAGAAUGAGCUUAAAUAUUUCUUAAAGAAAAGACUGACUGACUUGAACAUCUCUUGGGAAGCAAACUGAGGAAAAACAAUGAUGGAGUGCCUGAUCUGUAGAGCUGAGAAUUUUUUCUGUCUUUAUCCAGAAAAUUCAGGUCCAGUUUGCUCAACUGUUUGGCAUGUUAUUGGGAAAUUGAGAGAUAAAUCUAUGCUUUUGACAUAUAUCAAGCAUAUGUAACCAUGAUAUCCCAUCUGGCUCUCUGCUGUUAAAUUAGAGAUUUCUUAGAAGAAAAAAGGCAACCUAAUGUGAACCCACAGUCCAAUAAGCACUCGCAUCCAAGUAAUUGGAUCAACUGUCCUGUAAUCCAAUAAUAUUAGCCAGGCUGGUUUUCAACUUAAAGAAGUGAGAUAAAUAAAAUAUAACCCACUUUUUUUUCCUCCCAAAAUAGACCAUCUCAGCUUAGAGCAAUCAGCGUAGAACACUAUCUAGAGGACAAUUUGUUUCAAAGCAAAGGAAGAGGUUUUGGAAGAGGUCACACAAGUCCACAAGGACAAUUGUUGCAGGUUUACACCAAUGCAUCACUGACUUCUUCUUUCGUUUUUAAUUGAUGUGGAAAAUCUGAAAUGUCAUCAAACAUUGUGUGACUAUGGGACACCAGGAUAAAGCAGCAGGCUUGUGCCACCUGUGGGAAGGGAACAUUCCUGAUGGUGUCAACAGGCUCCACCUUACACUAUCCAAGUUCAUCUUCUCCCGGCUGCUCAGUUUUCAACUGAACCGGGAGAUUCUUUCAGGAUUGAGAGCCUUGCUUCUGGGCUAGAUGCAAACUGGUACACCAUUAUCAGAUGCCAGUUUAUAUCAGGAUCUUUGUGAAGAACCAGUAGUUCAGGACAGAGCUGCUCCAGUUAGGCCAUCUACUGAGGUGAGAUGAACUUCCACAGAAGAAAAUCUUGAGGGCUUUCUACAUAUCAUCUCUGCACUGUUUCCACUGUCCCUCAUGGAAGCAUGUGAAAUCCUCUGUGUUCUCUAAAAUGCUACCUAGAAGAGGAGCUUUCCAUUGCUAAAGCACAUUGCAGCUGCCUUAGUUGUGGGAACUAGAAACACCCAUCUUUUAUUUAACCAAUUAAUAAUCUUCAGAAGCACUGGUUCCUUUUGAAAUAGUGGCAGAACUUUGGGCAGUGGCUUUACACAGAUCAUCAGCAGUCCAGAUUUAGCCUGAGCAGAAGAAAUUCAACACACAGAAAGCCUGACUAAAAGGACUGGAGCAUAGAUUAAAUAUUCAGAAUGGCCUGCUGACUUUAAGAAACACAGCAGUAGUCACCUGUGCUGCUUCUGUGGAUUCCAAAGCCUGAAUUGUUUAAUAUGGUUUGAUGUUUUAAUAUGUUUGACCAGGGCUUAAAAAUUAUUUGAUGCCUACAGCAAAACGUUGUAAGAGUCUCCUGUUAUCACUGAGCUGGAAAGAGUUAAUACUGCCAGAAAUGUGAAAAUUAGCAAGAAAAAAGGUAAGAAUAUGGCAAAUAUAUUGUUCAGCUGUUACAAAUGUCCACAUUCUCAGUCUGACACUCAUUUACAGGUAACAAACUCAGGUAUCUUUGUUACUGUUGCUGAGGUAAAGUUUUCAUAAAAUUAUCUGUAGUAAUUACAUCCUUAAUAUUAAUUUUAGGACUAUAUACUGUGUAUGUCUUGUAGUCUGCUCCCACCAUGAACAUUAUGAUGUGUGAACUUUUCACACCACCUGAUAUCUAAGUCAGAAUAAAAACAGGCCCUGAAGCACCCAAGCCAGUUCUUCAGAUCUGAAAUAGAAACUACCUUCAAAGGUAAGCAGAGGCUGAAGAAUAACACUGAGCUUUUGAUAUCAGUUUAUCCCCCAAUGUUUCUAAGAUUCACAGGUAUUAAAAGAUUCUCCAGGGCACUUCAGUCAUCUUUUUUUGCUUGCACUAAGCCAUUUUGUGUUACAGGAGUACUUAGGUCAUAAUUUACCUCCUUGUCCAGAUCAGCUGCAGCAGGUAUGCAGCUGCAGCAGGUAUGCUGAAGAGCAUAAAGCCACAUGUGACUGCACGUUAACCUCCCUGCAUUACCAAAAACUACUUAUUUUCAAUAUCUUUCCCCUGGUUUAGCCAGUUACAACUAAUCCACAGGGGAUAGGAUGCUUCCUAUUUCACGGCACUUCAUUAUUCAAAGCAUUGUUCACAGGGAAUCUUGAUACAGGCUUUUUUGAAGUCUACGUACAGUUUGGCUCCGUCCAUCAGGCUGCUUUUCCUAUAUGGUGAUUCCCUUAAAAUGGGCUGUACAAGGUAGAUCAGGAAAUCACAAAACAGCCUGUACUAUGAGUCUAUAGGUGUAGGUGGGAUUUCUUUUUUUAUUAUUUUUGCAUAAAACUAAUUGGAAAAAAAAUGACUCUCAUAUCCUUAAUAUGAUUCCACUGGCAGGAAUCAAAGUAGUAAAUAGUAAAACACAGACUGAAAUUGGACCCAGAAGACAAACGAACCAGUGCGACACCAUUUAAGUGUCUUCAGCUUCUCAUGGAAAAAAAACCAAAAAGCAACACAAGCAUCAGUACUUACACUCUUGAUGCCUAGUCCUCGUAAAGUUAUGUGUGUCUGUCUCCAGCCAUGGCCACCGUUUCUUCCCCAAACAGCUGGUCCGUGAGCACCGUUUUUCCUUACAAAGACUUGGAGGGCACCAGAAUGCAGUCCAGGCACCUUAUGCCUGAAGGACAGGCACAAGUCUCUGGUGUGAGCCAUGUGAUCCAAGGGGAGGAUAAGAUGUGCCGCUCUUCCUUCUUUGCCUUUGGGAUCAGAGAUGGAGGAAGGAGCUCUGCUCUCCAAGUCACUCACAAGACUUUAAGUGUCAUAAGGAGCACCCAAAAUACUGGAGGAUGCCUGUGUGUUGGGAGGGGACCUGGCCAGCAAGUGAAGACACCACUUCCCCUUAGCGAGCUAAACAGCCUGGAAAAGGUGCCAGGUCGCCUGCUGCGGUGGCAAAUGACUGUCUCAUCAAUGGCAGCAUAAGGACAGACAUCUCUGACGAGGCGGUGUGUAAGGAAAAUGGCUCUCGGUGCCCUCACCCUCCCUCAUCCUAACCUAUAAUAUUUUACGCCCUGAGAGCGUGGUUCCUUCCUCAGUCUGCCAUCCCUUCACAUAAUGUGAGCAUUGUGCACUUCAAAGGCUGCUCUCCUGGGUAUGAAGUAAUCCCAUCAUUACGGGGAGCCAGGGAUGUGUGUCUAAUCCCCGCACCGCACUGUGGGGCAAGCACCGCUGGGGGGAAGGGUACGCAGGCAAGGACAGCCAACCUCUCAGUGCCAUACAGUAAAAUCAGCGGGGGACAGGAUACAUGCAAGCUUCCAGCAGUGUGGAUGUGCACUUCUCCUGGGGCAGCAGAGGUGUGUGAGGGGAAGGGUUGUUGCUUCAGCUGACCAGCAGUGCCGAUGCCAGUUCUCUCCUAUUCUGCAAGCCGCUAGUACACGCUCCCCUGUAAUGUUCUUUGUAAGGUCAUUUUCUGCCAUCUCAAACAAUCCCAUUUUCAGAAGCCUCUGCAUAUGAGCAUUUAACUUCUCUGCCUUCCAGUUAAUUAACAUUUUUUCUACGUACAGGUUGCUGUUAGCUUGGAGUAGAAUUCAAUAAAAUCAAACUGAGAGGUUAAUCUAGAACAUCAUAUUUGGCAGCAGAACAAAGACUGUUUCUAGCACUUUCUGUAAUUUUGCUAGUGAUAGAGAAAUAAUUAUGUUUACAUGGCAGUUUGAAAA